GUGUCAGCAGCCGCGGUAAUACGUAGGGGGCAAGCGCUGUCCGGAUUUACUGGGCGUAAAGGGUGUGCAGGCGGACUGGCGUGUCGAUGGUGAAAGCUCCCGGCUUAACCGGGAAAGUGCUGUCGAAACUACCAGCCUUGAGGGCGGAAGAGGAAACUGGAACUUCCGGUGUAGCGGUAAAAUGCGUAGAUAUCGGAAGGAACGCCGAUAGCGAAGGCAGGUUUCUGGGACGUACCUGACGCUGAAACACGAAAGCUAGGGGAGCAAACAGGAUUAGAUACCCUGGUAGUCCUAGCUGUAAACGAUGUACAUUAGGCGUGGGGAAUUUUCCCCGUGCCGGAGCCAACGCGUUAAAUGUACCGCCUGGGGACUACGGCCGCAAGGUUGAAACUCAAAUGAAUUGACGGGG
RNAcentral lists this ribosomal RNA (409 nucleotides) under uncultured prokaryote. RNAcentral describes it as "bacterial SSU rRNA". It matches the Rfam family "Bacterial small subunit ribosomal RNA", at positions 505 to 918 of the family's 1533-position model. The record is from RNAcentral.